This 478-nucleotide ribosomal RNA is filed under the name uncultured bacterium. RNAcentral's name for it is "bacterial SSU rRNA". It matches the Rfam family "Bacterial small subunit ribosomal RNA", at positions 1 to 507 of the family's 1533-position model. The record is from RNAcentral.
ACUACGAGUUUGAUCAUGGCUCAGAGCGAACGCUAGCGGCGGGCCUAACACAUGCAAGUCGAGCGGGGAGCAAUCCCAGCGGCGAACGGGUGAGUAACACGUGGGUAAUGUGCCUUCUGGUGGGGAAUAACCUUGGGAAACCAGGGCUAAUACCGCAUAUCGUGCUUCGGCAUGAAAGCCUUCGGGCGCCAGUAGAGCAGCCUGCGUCCCAUUAUUUAGUCCUAGUUGGUAGGGUAAUGGCCUACCAAGGGUACGAUGGGUAGCUGGUCUGAGAGGAUGAUCAGCCACACUGGAACUGAGACACGGUCCAGACUCCUACGGGAGGCAGCAGUGGGGAAUAUUGCGCAAUGGGGGAAACCCUGACGCAGCCACGCCGCGUGAGUGAUGAAGGCCUCGGUUGUAAAGCUCUGUCGGGAGGGACGGAAGGGAGGCGAAUCUCUGACGGUACCUCGCAAGAAAGACACCGGCUAACUCUGUG